This is a non-coding RNA of Debaryomyces hansenii CBS767, 84 nucleotides long. The record is from the annotation of a RefSeq genome assembly. NCBI's taxonomy places the organism in Eukaryota, Fungi, Ascomycota, Pichiomycetes, Serinales, Debaryomycetaceae.
CGGCAGACUUAAGAUCUGCUGGACAGUUGUCCGCGCGAGUUCGAACCUCGCAUCCUUCAUUAUUUUUUCCAUACUUUUUAAGUU